GACGGACGCUGGCGGCGUGCUUAACACAUGCAAGUCGAACGGUAAGGCCCUUCGGGGUACACGAGUGGCGAACGGGUGAGUAACACGUGGGUGAUCUGCCCUGCACUUCGGGAUAAGCCUGGGAAACUGGGUCUAAUACCGGAUAGGACCACUGCCUGCAUGGGUGGUGGUGGAAAGCUUUUGCGGUGUGGGAUGGGCCCGCGGCCUAUCAGCUUGUUGGUGGGGUGAUGGCCUACCAAGGCGACGACGGGUAGCCGGCCUGAGAGGGUGACCGGCCACACUGGGACUGAGAUACGGCCCAGACUCCUACGGGAGGCAGCAGUGGGGAAUAUUGCACAAUGGGCGCAAGCCUGAUGCAGCGACGCCGCGGGAGGGAUGACGGCCUUCGGGUUGUAAACCUCUUUCAGCACCGACGAAGCGCAAGUGACGGUAGGUGCAGAAGAAGGACCGGCCAACUACGUGCCAGCAGCCGCCGUAA
RNAcentral lists this ribosomal RNA (478 nucleotides) under uncultured bacterium. RNAcentral describes it as "partial 16S ribosomal RNA". It matches the Rfam family "Bacterial small subunit ribosomal RNA", at positions 28 to 523 of the family's 1533-position model. The record is from RNAcentral.